ACAGAGGGGGCAAGCGUUGUUCGGAAUUACUGGGCGUAAAGGGCGCGUAGGCGGCCUUCUAAGUCGAACGUGAAAUCCCCGGGCUCAACCCGGGAACUGCGUCCGAUACUGGAAGGCUUGAAUCCGGGAGAGGGAUGCGGAAUUCCAGGUGUAGCGGUGAAAUGCGUAGAUAUCUGGAGGAACACCGGUGGCGAAAGCGUUCUGCUAGACCUGUACUGACACUGAGGGACGAAAGCUAGGGGAGCGAAUGGGA
RNAcentral lists this ribosomal RNA (253 nucleotides) under uncultured prokaryote. RNAcentral's name for it is "partial 16S ribosomal RNA". It matches the Rfam family "Bacterial small subunit ribosomal RNA", at positions 525 to 777 of the family's 1533-position model. The record is from RNAcentral.